GCCGCUAUGGUGAAAUCGGUAGACACGCUGCUC
This 33-nucleotide transfer RNA is filed under the name Morina kokonorica. Its description in RNAcentral is "partial tRNA-Leu". Lineage: Eukaryota; Viridiplantae; Streptophyta; Magnoliopsida; Dipsacales; Caprifoliaceae. RNAcentral also lists the same sequence under 9 other names. The record is from RNAcentral.